GACGAACGCUGGCGGCGUGCUUAACACAUGCAAGUCGAACGGGAUUUAGUAGACAGAAGCCUCGGCUAAAGAUUACUACUGGGAGUGGCGAACGGGUGAGUAACGCGUGAGCAACCUGCCUAUGACAGUGGGAUAGCCUCGGGAAACCGGGAUUAAUACCGCAUAAAAUCGUAGAAACACAUGUUUUAACGGUCAAAGAUUUAUCGGUCAUAGAUGGGCUCGCGUCUGAUUAGCUAGUUGGUGAGGUAACAGCCCACCAAGGCGACGAUCAGUAGCCGGGCUGAGAGGAUGAACGGCCACAUUGGAACUGAGACACGGUCCAAACUCCUACGGGAGGCAGCAGUGGGGAAUAUUGCACAAUGGGGGAAACCCUGAUGCAGCGACGCCGCGUGAACGAAGAAGGUAUUCGUAUCGUAAAGUUCUGUCCUAUGGGAAGAUAAUGACAGUACCAUAGAAGAAAGCGCCGGCUAAAUACGUG
Molecule: ribosomal RNA, 478 nt
Filed under: uncultured bacterium
Lineage: Bacteria
Description: partial 16S ribosomal RNA
Rfam family: Bacterial small subunit ribosomal RNA
Source: RNAcentral